CCCUAGCCCCGAUAGUAACGGUUACCCCGCAGCAUGUGUAAGCCAUAGCACUGGCGCGAGGAGUAUGAGUGGAUAGCGGGAUAAAGC
This 87-nucleotide unclassified non-coding RNA is filed under the name Chryseobacterium ureilyticum. Its description in RNAcentral is "Flavo-1 RNA". Lineage: Bacteria; Pseudomonadati; Bacteroidota; Flavobacteriia; Flavobacteriales; Weeksellaceae. The record is from RNAcentral.